RNAcentral lists this ribosomal RNA (406 nucleotides) under uncultured bacterium. Its description in RNAcentral is "partial 16S ribosomal RNA". It matches the Rfam family "Bacterial small subunit ribosomal RNA", at positions 30 to 526 of the family's 1533-position model. The record is from RNAcentral.
AUUGAACGCUGGCGGCAGGCCUUACACAUGCAAGUCGAACGAGCGGCGGACGGGUGAGUAAUGUAUGGGCAUCUGCCCAGUAGCGGGGGAUAACUACUGGAAACAGUGGCUAAUACCGCAUACUAUUGGAUGGACCCAUAUGGGAUUAGCUAGUAGGUGGGGUAAAGGCUCACCUAGGCAACGAUCUCUAGCUGGUCUGAGAGGAGGACCAGCCACACUGGGACUGAGACACGGCCCAGACUCCUACGGGAGGCAGCAGUGGGGAAUAUUGCACAAUGGGCGAAAGCCUGAUGCAGCCAUGCCGCGUGUAUGAUGAAGGCCUUAGGGUUGUAAAGUACUUUCAGCAGGGAGGCGUUACCCGCAGAAGAAGCACCGGCUAACUCCGUGCCAGCAGCCGCGGUAAUUC